Molecule: ribosomal RNA, 503 nt
Filed under: uncultured bacterium
Lineage: Bacteria
Description: bacterial SSU rRNA
Rfam family: Bacterial small subunit ribosomal RNA
Source: RNAcentral
AGUGAACGCUGGCGGCAGGCCUAAUACAUGCAAGUCGAACGGCAGCACAGCAGAGCUUGCUCUGUGGGUGGCGAGUGGCGGACGGGUGAGGAAUACGUGGGAAUCUGCCCAGUCGUGGGGAUAACGUAGGGAAACUUACGCUAAUACCGCAUGCGCCCUUCGGGGGAAAGCCGGGGACCUUCGGGCCUGGCGCGAUUGGAUGAGCCCACGUCGGAUUAGCUAGUUGGCGGGGUAAAGGCCCACCAAGGCGACGAUCCGUAGCUGGUCUGAGAGGACGAUCAGCCACACUGGAACUGAGACACGGUCCAGACUCCUACGGGAGGCAGCAGUAGGGAAUAUUGGACAAUGGGCGCAAGCCUGAUCCAGCCAUGCCGCGUGAGUGAAGAAGGCCCUCGGGUUGUAAAGCUCUUUUGUCCGGGAAGAAAGCGCCGGGUUAAUACCCUGGUGUCCUGACGGUACCGGAGAAUAAGCACCGGCUAACUUCGUGCCAGCAGCCGCGGUAA